Molecule: non-coding RNA, 74 nt
Organism: Tieghemiomyces parasiticus
Lineage: Eukaryota; Fungi; Kickxellomycota; Dimargaritomycetes; Dimargaritales; Dimargaritaceae
Source: the annotation of a GenBank genome assembly
CGGAUUGUAGCGUAAUAGGAUAACGAGUCUAAUUUGGGAUUAGAAGAUUGCUAGUUCAACUCUAGCCAAUCCGA